Molecule: ribosomal RNA, 429 nt
Filed under: uncultured bacterium
Lineage: Bacteria
Description: bacterial SSU rRNA
Rfam family: Bacterial small subunit ribosomal RNA
Source: RNAcentral
UGGGGAAUUUUGGACAAUGGGCGCAAGCCUGAUCCAGCAAUGCCGCGUGCAGGAUGAAGGCCUUCGGGUUGUAAACUGCUUUUGUACGGAGCGAAAAGGCUCUCUCUAAUAAAGGGGGCUCAUGACGGUACCGUAAGAAUAAGCACCGGCUAACUACGUGCCAGCAGCCGCGGUAAUACGUAGGGUGCGAGCGUUAAUCGGAAUUACUGGGCGUAAAGCGUGCGCAGGCGGUUUUGUAAGACAGAUGUGAAAUCCCCGGGCUCAACCUGGGACCUGCAUUUGUGACUGCAAGGCUAGAGUACGGCAGAGGGGGAUGGAAUUCCGCGUGUAGCAGUGAAAUGCGUAGAUAUGCGGAGGAACACCGAUGGCGAAGGCAAUCCCCUGGGCCUGUACUGACGCUCAUGCACGAAAGCGUGGGGAGCAAACAGG